UCCGCCAUAUGUGGCUAUAUGCCACAUAUAGGUAGUAUAUAUGCUAUUGGUGGAC
RNAcentral lists this transfer RNA (55 nucleotides) under Picochlorum sp. 'soloecismus'. Its description in RNAcentral is "tRNA-Tyr". The record is from RNAcentral. Lineage: Eukaryota; Viridiplantae; Chlorophyta; Trebouxiophyceae.